UACAGAGGUCUCAAGCGUUGUUCGGAUUCAUUGGGCGUAAAGGGUGCGUAGGCGGCGCGGUAAGUCGGGUGUGAAAUCUCGGAGCUUAACUCCGAAACUGCAUUCGAUACUGCCGUGCUUGAGGACUGGAGAGGAGACUGGAAUUUACGGUGUAGCGGUGAAAUGCGUAGAUAUCGUAAGGAAGACCAGUGGCGAAGGCGGGUCUCUGGACGGUGACUGACGCUGAGACGCGAAAGCGUGGGGAGCAAACAGG
RNAcentral lists this ribosomal RNA (253 nucleotides) under uncultured bacterium. RNAcentral describes it as "partial 16S ribosomal RNA". It matches the Rfam family "Bacterial small subunit ribosomal RNA", at positions 524 to 776 of the family's 1533-position model. The record is from RNAcentral.